ACUAGGCAUGGUGGCGCACAUCCAUAAUCAUAGCUCAUGAGAAGGUUUAAGCUGGUGGAUCUCUUGAGCUUGGCAGCUCUGAGCUGCAGGAAGUUAUGUCCUCAUUAAGUUUAGCAUCAAUAGGGUGAGCCUCCAAGACUGGGGGGCCAUCUAGUUGCCUAAAGAGGGACAAAUCAGCUCAAUUAGAAACAGAACAGGUCAAAGUUCCCAUGUCAAUCAGUAGUAGGAUCUUGUACACAAGUAAGGCUCAAUACUUUCAGCCUGGGUGAGGUAGGGUGACCUAAUCUUUA
RNAcentral lists this signal recognition particle RNA (290 nucleotides) under Vombatus ursinus (common wombat). RNAcentral describes it as "Metazoan signal recognition particle RNA (ENSVURG00010013906.1)". It matches the Rfam family "Metazoan signal recognition particle RNA". Rfam says of the family: The signal recognition particle (SRP) is a universally conserved ribonucleoprotein. It is involved in the co-translational targeting of proteins to membranes. The record is from Rfam by way of RNAcentral. Lineage: Eukaryota; Metazoa; Chordata; Mammalia; Diprotodontia; Vombatidae.